RNAcentral lists this ribosomal RNA (827 nucleotides) under Stichotrichia sp. cOmb2. RNAcentral describes it as "SSU rRNA". It matches the Rfam family "Eukaryotic small subunit ribosomal RNA", at positions 394 to 1240 of the family's 1831-position model. Lineage: Eukaryota; Ciliophora; Spirotrichea. The record is from RNAcentral.
GCCUGAGAAACGGCUACCACAUCUAAGGAAGGCAGCAGGCGCGUAAAUUACCCAAUCCUGACUCAGGGAGGUAGUGACAAGAAAUAACGGACCGAAGCCUAUGUUUCGGGAUUGCAAUGAGUAGAAUUUAAACCCCUUUACGAGGAUCAAUUGGAGGGCAAGUCUGGUGCCAGCAGCCGCGGUAAUUCCAGCUCCAAUAGCGUAUAUUAAAGUUGUUGCAGUUAAAAAGCUCGUAGUUGGAUUUCUGGGAGAGUGCCAAUGUCGUCUUGUUGACUGUGCAGCGGCGCUCUUCCAUCCUUCUGUUAACUUUUCGGGUAUUCAUUUACUCGUCUAGAGCUCAGAUAUUUUACCUUGAGAAAAUUAGAGUGUUCCAGGCAGGCUCGCGCCGGAAUACAUUAGCAUGGAAUAAUAGAAUAGGACUUUAGUCUCCUUUGUUGGUUUGAGGGACUGAAGUAAUGAUUAAUAGGGAUAGUUGGGGGCAUUAGUAUUUAAUUGUCAGAGGUGAAAUUCUCGGAUUUGUUAAAGACUAACUUAUGCGAAAGCAUUUGCCAAGGAUGUUUUCAUUAAUCAAGAACGAAAGUUAGGGGAUCAAAGACGAUCAGAUACCGUCCUAGUCUUAACCAUAAACUAUGCCGACUAGGGAUCGGAGGCGCGCUUUAUCCGCCUUCGGCACCUUAUGAGAAAUCAAAGUCUUUGGGUUCUGGGGGGAGUAUGGUCGCAAGGCUGAAACUUAAAGGAAUUGACGGAAGGGCACCACCAGGAGUGGAGCUUGCGGCUCAAUUUGACUCAACACGGGAAAACUUACCAGGUCCAGACAUAGUGAGGAU